GUUUGGUUUCUUAUAAAAGUUUUCCUCCUUGUUGUGGGUGCAGGAGGAGAAUUUCCCUAUCUUCUAAGCUGCUGAUCUUCCAGGACAGAGAGGAGCGGGUUCUUCUGAGCAGUGGCCUGCAACCAGGAAGAGGGAUCGUCCAGGAGCCCAGACAGCGGAGAAACUGGAAGAAGUGAACCUGAGCAGCCUGGACAUCCUUGUAAGCAGAGAUGAAGAGUCCUCAGCUUUCUGCCUUCUCCAUGACUGGCUUACCACAGACAAAGAAGUCAAGGGUAAGAGCCCACCCCCGUUUUGAG
Long non-coding RNA from Mauremys mutica (yellowpond turtle), 296 nucleotides. RefSeq lists it as uncharacterized. Lineage: Eukaryota; Metazoa; Chordata; Testudines; Geoemydidae. The transcript has 3 exons. The record is from RefSeq and is a predicted model, not a curated record.